This is a long non-coding RNA of Panicum hallii, 614 nucleotides long. RefSeq lists it as uncharacterized. The transcript is spliced from 2 exons. NCBI's taxonomy places the organism in Eukaryota, Viridiplantae, Streptophyta, Magnoliopsida, Poales, Poaceae. The record is from RefSeq and is a predicted model, not a curated record.
CCAUCUCCUCCCGACUUCUGAGCCCUGUCGUUUGUUCUUCUCCCUCUCGACUUCUCAUCUUCUGCUGCUGCGCCGCCGGCCGCCGCUAGGCGAGGGUUGGCUUCCGUCCGCAGGGCGCCGGCGCCAGGCCGAGGAGCGCAAGCGCAGAGAGAUCCGCCGCUGCGGUGGCUCGCCGGCCGCUGAUCUGAUGGAGCCACGGAGGGCGCGUCGACAGCGGCCACGGGGCCAUGCUUACUGCUGUUGCAAAUCAGGCGACAGUGGCAGCCGGGUGCGCGGCCGCGACGGCGGGCGCCGUUUACGGAAGCACUGGAAGCAUCGCCGGCCACGGUAGGCACAAAUGCGGAGGAAGCAGAGCACAUGGCUGGCGUCGCUGAGGAUGAGCGGACCACACUGACGCCAAAUGCAGCAGCUACGGCCACAGGAAGUUCAGCGGCUGAGGCACCAAAGGCACCGAAAAGAUUGAAGUCGUUGAUCUGAAAUCUUUGUGGACUGGAGCAGCAAACAAACCCAAAUCAUACUUGUAUUGUACCUUGUAUCCUUAAAUCUCUGUUUUCGUGAACCUUAAUCGUUUAUAUACGAUGAUUGAUAUAAAGGAUGAUUGUUCCGUUCGCUCA